GGCGCAGCUACACAUGCAGUCGAGCGGAUGACGGGAGCUUGCUCCUUGAUUCAGCGGCGGACGGGUGAGUAAUGCCUAAGAGUCUGCCUGGUAGUGGGGGACAACGUUUCGAAAGGAACGCUAAUACCGCAUACGUCCUACGGGAGAAAGCAGGGGACCUUCGGGCCUUGCGCUAUCAGAUGAGCCUAGGUCGGAUUAUCUAGGUGGUGGGGUAAUGGCUCACCAAGGCGACGAUCCGUAUCUGGUCUGAGAGGAUGAUCAGUCACACUGGAACUGAGACACGGUCCAGACUCCUACGGGAGGCAGCAGUGGGGAAUAUUGGACAGUGGGCGAAAGCCUGAUCCAGCCGUGCCGCGUGUGUGAAGAAGGUCUUCGGAUUGUAAAGCACUUUAAGUUGGGAGGAAGGGCAGUAAGCUAAUACCUUGCUGUUUUGACGUUACCGACAGAAUAAGCACCGGCUAACUCUGUGCCAGCAGCCGCGGUAAUACAGAGGGUGCAAGCGUUAAUCGGAAUUACUGGGCGUAAAGCGCGCGUAGGUGGUUUGUUAAGUUGGAUGUGAAAGCCCCGGGCUCAACCUGGGAACUGCAUCCGAAACUGGCAAGCUAGAGUACGGUAGAGGGAGGGUGGAAUUUCCUGUGUAGCGGUGAAAUGCGUAUAUAUAGAGGAGGAACACCUGUGGAAGAAGGCGACCCUCCUGCGACUGAUACUGACUCCUGAG
Molecule: ribosomal RNA, 718 nt
Filed under: Pseudomonas sp. P10
Lineage: Bacteria; Pseudomonadati; Pseudomonadota; Gammaproteobacteria; Pseudomonadales; Pseudomonadaceae
Description: bacterial SSU rRNA
Rfam family: Bacterial small subunit ribosomal RNA
Source: RNAcentral